AGGAUAAUAGUUAAUUAUAACAUUUGAUUUGCAUUCAAAAAGUAUUGAUACCACUCAAUUUAUCUU
RNAcentral lists this transfer RNA (66 nucleotides) under Gyna caffrorum. RNAcentral's name for it is "tRNA-Ala". It matches the Rfam family "tRNA". Rfam says of the family: Transfer RNA (tRNA) molecules are approximately 80 nucleotides in length. Their secondary structure includes four short double-helical elements and three loops (D, anti-codon, and T loops). Further hydrogen bonds mediate the characteristic L-shaped molecular structure. tRNAs have two regions of fundamental functional importance: the anti-codon, which is responsible for specific mRNA codon recognition, and the 3' end, to which the tRNAs corresponding amino acid is attached (by aminoacyl-tRNA synthetases). tRNAs cope with the degeneracy of the genetic code in two manners: having more than one tRNA (with a specific anti-codon) for a particular amino acid; and 'wobble' base-pairing, i.e. permitting non-standard base-pairing at the 3rd anti-codon position. The record is from RNAcentral. Lineage: Eukaryota; Metazoa; Arthropoda; Insecta; Blattodea; Blaberidae.